This 200-nucleotide unclassified non-coding RNA is filed under the name soil metagenome. RNAcentral's name for it is "partial contains internal transcribed spacer 2 and large subunit ribosomal RNA". The record is from RNAcentral.
CGAGCGUCAUUUCACCACUCAAGCCUCGCUUGGUAUUGGGCAACGCGGUCCGCCGCGUGCCUCAAAUCGUCCGGCUGGGUCUUCUGUCCCCUAAGCGUUGUGGAAACUAUUCGCUAAAGGGUGUUCGGGAGGCUACGCCGUAAAACAACCCCAUUUCUAAGGUUGACCUCGGAUCAGGUAGGGAUACCCGCUGAACUUAA